AGCAGGGUGGCUCAGUGGAAAGAGCAUGGGCUUGAGAAUCAGAAUACUUGAGUUCAAAUUCCGACUCUGCCA
RNAcentral lists this transfer RNA (72 nucleotides) under Ornithorhynchus anatinus (platypus). It matches the Rfam family "tRNA". From Rfam's summary of the family: Transfer RNA (tRNA) molecules are approximately 80 nucleotides in length. Their secondary structure includes four short double-helical elements and three loops (D, anti-codon, and T loops). Further hydrogen bonds mediate the characteristic L-shaped molecular structure. tRNAs have two regions of fundamental functional importance: the anti-codon, which is responsible for specific mRNA codon recognition, and the 3' end, to which the tRNAs corresponding amino acid is attached (by aminoacyl-tRNA synthetases). tRNAs cope with the degeneracy of the genetic code in two manners: having more than one tRNA (with a specific anti-codon) for a particular amino acid; and 'wobble' base-pairing, i.e. permitting non-standard base-pairing at the 3rd anti-codon position. The record is from Rfam by way of RNAcentral. Lineage: Eukaryota; Metazoa; Chordata; Mammalia; Monotremata; Ornithorhynchidae.